Molecule: long non-coding RNA, 1594 nt
Filed under: Homo sapiens (human)
Lineage: Eukaryota; Metazoa; Chordata; Mammalia; Primates; Hominidae
Source: RNAcentral
UUUUUUUUUUUUUUUUUUUGAGACAGAGUCUCACUGUGUUGCCCAGGCUGGAGUGCAAAUGGCUUGAUCUUGGUUCACUGCAACCUCUGCCUCCCAGGUUCAAGCAAUUCUCUUGCCUCAGCCUCCCGAGUAGCUGGGACUAAAGGCGUGUGCCACCAUGCCCAGCUAAUUCUUGUAUUUUUAGUAGAGACGGAGUUUCUCCAUGUUGGCCAGACUGGUCUCGAACUCCUGACCUCAGGUGAUCUGACCGCCUUGGCCUCCGAAAGUGCUGAGAUUACAGUUGCGAGCCACUGUGCGUGGCCAGAACUUUAUAAUAAGAGACUUGAAGCUGGGUGUGACGGUGCACACCUCUAGUCCCAGCUACUCGGGAGGCCAAGACAGAAGGAUCACCUUGAGGCCAGGAGUUUAAGGCCAGCCUGGGCAACAUAGCAAAACCUAGUCCCUAAAAUUAAAAAAAAAAAAAAAAAAAAAAAGGAAAAUAAAGGAGACUUGAAAUUUUUGAACUAAAUAGUGGUGAUGGCUACACAUUGUGAAUGUAAUUAACACCACUGAGUUAAACACUUAAAAUGGUUAAAAUGGCAAAUUGUAUGUUAUACCUAUUUUACUACAAUAAAAAGUAUAAAAAAGAGAAGAUAUUUAGGUGACUUACAGCAACCAAUUGCAACAAAACAAAAUGUUAAGAAAUGAUCUUUUUAUGAGGCAAUUGGAAAUUUGAACACUGAUCAACUAUAGGAUGAUUGGAAUUAUUAAUUUUGUAAAGGUGUGAUAAGAUACUGCACUUGGCUGGGCACAGUGGCACAUGCCUGUAAUCCCAGCUACUUGGCAGGCUGAGGUGGGAGAAUCGCUUGAGCUCAGGAGUUCGAGACCAGCCUGGGCAACGUGGCGAAAUCCCCGUCUUUACAAAAACAAACAAACAAACAAAAAAGAUAUUGCAGUUGUGUUGUAAGCGUCCUUAUCUUUCAGAGCUACAUAGUGGAAUGUUUAUGGAAUAUUUAGGAUAAAUGAUAUAGGCAUUUGGGAUUUGCUGCAAAAUGACCCAGAGGCAGGGGUCAGGGGGAGAGGUAGAGAUGAGACAAGAGGUAGAGGGGAGAGGUAGAGGUAGCCACGAGCUGAUAAUUACAGACAAGAGAUGCGGAGUAUGUGGGGGCUCAUUAUCCUGCAUAGUCUAUCUUUGUAUAUCUUUGAACUUUUCAAGAAUAAAAAAGCUUAAAAAGUAUACAUGGCCUGGUCCUACCAGAGACUCACCCAAUGCCAGCCUCCAGCCAGGGAGAGCCAAGUUUGCAUUUUCACACGCAUCUCACACUCCUCUGCACUCUCAACUUGGAGCGCUCCAAACAGGGAAACCCCAAGCCUUGCUGGCUUCUGCCAACCCCCUGAGCAGAAGCAUGGGUCCCCCUGAUCACCACCUCACCACCCUCAUCCUGAUCUCACUGUACACAGCAAGCAAACCCCAGUGUAAUUAACAAGACUGAGGAUACCUGUAAUCCCAGCACUUUGGGAGGCUGAGGCCGGCAGAUCACAUGAGUUCAGGAGUUCGAGACCAGCCUGGCAAACCAUGGCCAACAUGGCAAAGCCCAGUCUCUACUAAAAACAC